GAUAAUAGGGCAAAGAAGAUCCUUCGUUGAUGUUCAUCCAUAUCGACGCAAUUCAUCAAGAACAAACUUGAAGAAUCAAUCAAUAUUCUAUCAUCCCCCCUCAGGUUGAGCAUGUUCAACUUGAUGGAAAGGUUCUGUAAUCAAUGCGCUGGAAUAGCUUUGGUGAAGAUAUCUCCCAGUUGAUCAUCUGUUCUGAGGCUAUGGAUACACAGAAAUAUUUGCAAUAAAAUGUUCAUGUAAAGGAAUGAUGACAUUUAGAGAUGCAUGAGUGUGAAUGGAUGCAGCAUCACAAAUGUAAUCUUGCAAGAGUAGUGGAGGGACCAACAUCAUCUUGAGUCAAUUGGGAUGGAUGCAUAGUAAAGUCAGUUGCACAGGAAAUAUGACCACAUCGGUGUGAUGGAGCAAGAGGAUAUCUACCACCAUGCUGGGGCGUAGCUUAAACAUCAGAGCCUAUAACUUCUUCAAAUCGAUGUCCCUCACGAACCUCGUCUAGAAUGUCGCGACAAUUUCCCAAUCAAUUAUUUCCAAUGGCAGUAGUAGAGUCAUUAAAAGCAUCAUGCAAUGCAGAAACAACUUUUUUUUCUCCCUCUAAUGCCAAAGCUGCCUACAUUAAGGUAUAUUACAUUACAAUAUAAUUUAAGUUACAUAAAUAAAACUAGUUGCAUGACCACUCGUCGCGCGACACAUAAUUAGUUUGGAAAAUAAAGAUUUUUUGACAAUUUUUCGAUACUUUGUUACCAUGAUGAACAACACUGCUUGAAUUGUGAG
Long non-coding RNA from Tripterygium wilfordii, 768 nucleotides. RefSeq lists it as uncharacterized. The transcript has 3 exons. The record is from RefSeq and is a predicted model, not a curated record. Lineage: Eukaryota; Viridiplantae; Streptophyta; Magnoliopsida; Celastrales; Celastraceae.